AGAGUUUGAUCCUGGCUCAGAUUGAACGCUGGCGGCAGGCUUAACACAUGCAAGUCGAGCGGAAACGAAGGUAGCUUGCUACCAGACGUCGAGCGGCGGACGGGUGAGUAAUGCUUAGGAAUCUACCGAGUAGUGGGGGAUAGCCAUUGGAAACGAUGAUUAAUACCGCAUAUAUCCUACGGGGGAAAGCAGGGGACCUUCGGGCCUUGCGCUAUUCGAUGAGCCUGAGUGAGAUUAGCUAGUUGGUGGGGUAAAGGCCUACCAGGGCGACGAUCUCUAGCUGGUCUGAGAGGAUGAUCAGCCACACUGGGACUGAGACACGGCCCAGACUCCUACGGGAGGCAGCAGUGGGGAAUAUUGCACAAUGGACGAAAGUCUGAUGCAGCCAUGCCGCGUGUGUGAAGAAGGCCUUCGGGUUGUAAAGCACUUUCAGCGAGGAGGAAAGGUCAGUAAGUAAUAUUUGCUGGCUGUGACGUUACUCGCAGAAGAAGCACCGGCUAAUUUAGUGCCAGCAGCCGCGGUAAUACUAAAGGUGCAAGCGUUAAUCGGAAUUACUGGGCGUAAAGCGCGCGUAGGUGGUUUGUUAAGUUGGAUGUGAAAGCCCAGGGCUCAACCUUGGAACUGCAUUCAAAACUGACUCACUAGAGUACGAGAGAGGUUAGUGGAAUUUCCUGUGUAGCGGUGAAAUGCGUGGAGAUGGGAAG
This 704-nucleotide ribosomal RNA is filed under the name uncultured bacterium. RNAcentral's name for it is "bacterial SSU rRNA". It matches the Rfam family "Bacterial small subunit ribosomal RNA", at positions 8 to 703 of the family's 1533-position model. The record is from RNAcentral.